This 1737-nucleotide long non-coding RNA is filed under the name Sus scrofa (pig). Its description in RNAcentral is "lncRNA (ENSSSCG00060045529.1)". The record is from RNAcentral. Lineage: Eukaryota; Metazoa; Chordata; Mammalia; Artiodactyla; Suidae.
AGAAAACUCCUUUUCGGAUGCUGCCAGCUAGAGAUCUGCCACUUCACAGGCAAGAGUUAUCUGUAACCCAGACCAGGGACCAGCCCGUUUCCACGUUGCAGCCCGAAGUGGGUGAACAUGGGUUAGCAGAUGUUUUGCUGCAGACUCUAGGAGGCAAAGCAAGUGCUUCUCUGAACUGGAUGACUUGUUUGAAAACACUCCGUAGAGAAGUUGUGUGCCGUUGAGCUCUUUUGCACAUCACAUAUUUUUUUAAGUGCAUCUGGGGAGUGUGUUAAGUGGGGAACUCCGAGGCUGACUGCUCCCGGAAAGUGGAAAGUCGCUCCCUGUGCAGAGUUUGGGAAAACGAAGUUAUUUUUAUCUGCAUCUUGGGUUUUCUCAAGGCAGGGCCUCCCCCGCCCCAUCCAGGGCCAGGAGCCCAUCUUUCUUGGACUGAAAGCAAAGGUUUCCUUCCCCGUCCAGGCUGCCCAUGGACCAGGAGCGGGAGCAGUCACACAGGUUUUUCUGGAGCCUGCCCCGCCCGCUGAAGCUGAGUCCGAGGCGCUGUGCCGCCUGGUGAGCGUCCCCACCGCGUGCACUCGUCCCCACCUCCGUCCUCUCCGCGAUGCUCCCAUCCCGUCUUUCCUGUGGGCCAUGCUCUCUGCUCCCAGGCCUUCCAGACGAUUCGGGAUGGCAGCCGUCUACUACACGGAGAAAUCCCCCCAGCCUCCUGGGCAGCAGCGGCAGAAGGCUGUCGAGUACAGGGCUGGCUCCCCCCCAACUUUCAUGUCCCUGUUGAAGACGGUGGAUGGCGAGACGAACCAGCCCCUGGAUGUGUCUGUCAAGGUCACCACCGGCAGCUAUGAGUUUCAAAAGAAAAGAGAUCUGAGCCUCCUCCUCAAGCCUGGCCUCUUGGCAUCGUAGUCCAACGCCCAUCACCCCGGAGAGAACAGAAGCCAGUUGAGCACAGCUCGGUAACUCUUGGCCUCCUGCUUGCAUCAGCAGCAUGGCCGGCUUUGUGAAGCCCACCUACCCGCUGUCCUCCUUUGUCCCAGACCCUGCUCAGAACCUCAAAGCCCAGCAGCAGAACCUGGUCCCCUUCCUGGAAUCAGACUAUGACCGGCUGAUGCAGCAAUAGGCCCUGCAUCCCGUGCGUGUCACCCGCACCCAGAGGCGGCUCCAGCCACCCAGUUCCUGCCCGUGCCUUUCCUUCUCCCACAUCCCGACCAGCUGGCAACACUCCAGGACGCUCCAGUCGUUAGAAGGGAGUGGACCCGGCGAGGGAAAGAGGAGCAGCAUUGAUUCAAUGCAGCAGGAGCACAGAGAUGAGCCCAAAUCUCGACGAAAGAGGGGCCCUGACGCAGUGCCCCUUUCUCACUUGGCCCCCAGUCCACCGUCCAGUUCCUGGCGGACCACAGACCAGAGGUCACCGUUCUCACCAAGAUCAAAUGUCACGCCGGUCUGUGGUGGGGCAUCAGCCCUGCCAACCGGGCAGCAAUGGUCCAGGAGCUCGCCAAUGCCACGGCCAGCUCCAACGCCGCGUCCUGGACCGUUCAGAGGUAACCUGGCACCACCCGAACCCACAGCCCUCUGAGCUCCCCGGCUCUUUGCGAGACUUCCAGGUAAACAUCAGGACCUUCCGAGUCCACAGCAGCAGAAAAGUGUAAGGACUAACCUUGAAUGAGGACCGCGUGGCUGUCAGGUACCGUGUGCGUCCAUCCUGCCUUCCUCUUCUCUCCUCUCUCUGUCCAAAAAAAAAAA